GUAGGUGGCAAGCGUUGUCCGGAUUUACUGGGUGUAAAGGGCGUGCAGCCGGAGAGGCAAGUCAGAUGUGAAAUCCGCGGGCUCAACUCGCGAACUGCAUUUGAAACUGCUUCCCUUGAGUAUCGGAGAGGUAAUCGGAAUUCCUAGUGUAGCGGUGAAAUGCGUAGAUAUUAGGAAGAACACCAGUGGCGAAGGCGGAUUACUGGACGACAACUGACGGUGAGGCGCGAAAGCGUGGGGAGCAAA
Molecule: ribosomal RNA, 246 nt
Filed under: uncultured bacterium
Lineage: Bacteria
Description: partial 16S ribosomal RNA
Rfam family: Bacterial small subunit ribosomal RNA
Source: RNAcentral